This 573-nucleotide ribosomal RNA is filed under the name Triticum aestivum (bread wheat). Its description in RNAcentral is "partial small subunit ribosomal RNA". Lineage: Eukaryota; Viridiplantae; Streptophyta; Magnoliopsida; Poales; Poaceae. The record is from RNAcentral.
AUGGCAAGAAAUGAUUUCGGAUUUGGUUCUUUGAUCAUAGAUAUCAAGCUUGAUGGUUCAAACUACAGGGAAUGGGCAUUUUCUGCCCGGACUGUCUUGAGGACGGCUGGUUUUGUUUCUCAUCUGACAGAUGAUCCACCUAGUCCAAAUGAUGAUGCAGCAAGGAAGUCUUGGCAAAAGAUCGAUGAUCGUGUGAUGGGAGUUUUAAUUCUGGGUGUUGAACCCUCACUCCGAAUGAGUCUUGAGCAUCACACUUCAGCUAAAGAGAUAUGGAAGUACUUUGAGCAGCGCUACCUUCAGCCCAGCAGUGCACUUCAUUUCUCCUUGUUGCAGAAUUUACACAACACUCGGCAGCCAGAAGACAUGUCCAUAGAAGAGUACUAUGGAGCUUUCACUCGCAUCACUGGGCAGCUAGGUUCCAUGGUUCCAAAGGGUAAUUCUGGUUGUGAGUCAUGUGCAGCAAAGGAAAAGUAUGACCAUCAGACUCUCAUGUUUCAGUUUGUGAUGGUCUCAAGCCAGACUUUGAGAACAUUCGCACUCAAUUGCUUGGUCGUACGACUCCUCCCACCUUGA